RNAcentral lists this ribosomal RNA (2925 nucleotides) under Brassica oleracea (wild cabbage). Its description in RNAcentral is "bacterial LSU rRNA". It matches the Rfam family "Bacterial large subunit ribosomal RNA". Lineage: Eukaryota; Viridiplantae; Streptophyta; Magnoliopsida; Brassicales; Brassicaceae. The record is from RNAcentral.
GGAAAGGCUUACGGUGGAUACCCAGGUACCCAGAGACGAGGAAGGCGGUAAGCGACGAAAUGCUUCGGAGCUGAAAAAAAGCGUGGAUCCGGAGAUUCCUGGAAUAGGUUAACCUUUGAACCGCUGCCAAUCCAUGGGCAGGCAAGAGACAACCUGGCGAACUGAAACAUCUUAGUAGCCAGAUGGAAAAGAAAGCAAAAGCGAUUCCGUAGAAGCGGCGAGCGAAAUGGGAGCAGCCUAAACCGUGAAACGGGCCAGGGAGAGCAAUAAAAAGCGUCGUGCUGGCGAAGGCGAAGCGGUGGAGUGCCGCACCCUAGAUGGCGAGAGUCCAGUAGCCGAAAAGCAUCACUAGCUUAUGCUCGACCUGAGAGCAUGGGGCACGGGAAUCCCAGGAAUCAAAGGCGACCCACUUGCAAGGCUAAAUACCCCGGACCGAUGAAGCGAAGUAGUACCGGGAGAGGGAAGGGGAAAAGAUCCCAUCGGGGAGUGAAAUAGAACAUGAAAACUGUAAGCCCUAAGCAGUGGAGGAGCCCGGGCUCUGACCGCGCCUAUUGAAGAAUGAGCCGGCACCCAUAGGCAGUGGCUUGGUGGGUGAACCCACCGAGCCAAAGGAAAGCGAGUCUUCAUAGGCAAUUGUCACUGCUUAUGGACCCGAACCCAAGGAUUCUAUCCAUGACCAGGAGAAGCUAGUGAAACCAUGGAUAUCCGAAACCGACUGAUGUUGAAAAAAAACUGCAGGAUGAGUUGUGGUUAGGUGAAAAUGCCACUCGAACCCAGAGCUAGCUGGUUCUCCCUGAAAUGCGCCGAGGCGGAGCCGACUGACAUCUAGGGCAAAGCACUGUUUCUGCGCGGGCCGCGAGAGCGGAACCAAAUCGAGGCAAACCUGAACACCAGAUAUGACCCCAAAAUAACUGGGGUCAAGGUCGGCCAGUGAGACGGUGGGGAUAAGUUUCAUCGUCGAGAGGAAACAGCCCGGGAUCACCAGCCAAGGCCCCAAAUGACCGCCCAGUGACAGAGGUAGGGUGGAGACAGCCAGGAGGUUUGUCGGAAGCAGCCACUUGAAAGAGUGCGUAAUAGCUCAUCGAUCGGAGCGCCUUGCGCCGAAGACAGAACGGGGCUGGGCGAUUCGCCGAAGCCGUGGGAUGUCAAAAUGCAUCGGUAGGGGAGCGUUCCGCCUUAGGGGAAGGCAACCGCGCGAGCGGCGGUGGACAAGGGAAGGAGAAUGUCGGUUUGAGGCAACGCAAACAUUGGUGAGAAUCCAAUGCCCUGAAACCAAGGGUUCCUCUCCGCAAGGUUCGUCCAAUGGAGGUGAGUCAGGGCCUAAGAUCAGGCUGGAAAGGCGUAGUCGAUGGACAACAGGUGAAUAUUCCUGUAAUUACCCCUUUGUUGGUCCUGAGGGACGGAGGAGGCCAGGUUAGCUGAAAGAUGGUUAUCGGUCUAAGAACGCAAGGUGUCCCUGUUUUUUCAGGGUAAGGGUAGAGAAAAUGCCCUGAGCCAAUGUUCGAGUGCCAGGGCGCCUACGGCGCUGAAGUAACCCAUGCUAUAAUGCUCCCAGGAAAAGCUCAUGAACGACCUUCAACAAAAGCAACCUGUACCCGAAACCGACACAGGUGGCAGGUAGAGAAUACCUAGGGCGAGACAACUUCUAAGCGAACUGGCAAAAUAGCCCCCAACUUCGAGAAGGGGCCUCCCUCACAAAGUUGGGUCGCAGUGACCAGGCCUGGGCGACUGUUUACUAAAAACACAGGUCCCGCAGUCGUAAGACCAUGUAUGGGCUGACGCCUGCCCAGUGCCGGAAGGUCAAGGAAGCAGACCUGAUGACAGGAGCCAUGACCGAAGCUCCCGGUGAACGGCGGGCCGUAACUAUAACGGUCCCAAGGAAGAGAAAUUCCCUUGUCGGGUAAGUUCCGGACCUGCACGAAAGGCGUAACGAUCUGGGCACCAGUCUCGGAGAGAGGCUUCAUGAAAUAGACAUAGUCAGAAGAUGCGGACUACCUGGGCACCUGGACAGAAAGACCCUAUGAAGCUUCACUGUUCCCUGAUUGGCUUUGGGCUCUUUUCCUGCGCAGCUUAGGUGGAAGGCGAAGAAGGCCUCCUUCCGGGGCCUGGAGCCAUCAGUGAGAUGCCACUCUGAAGAGUUUGAAUCUAACCUCAGUCAGGACCUACGCUGGGGGGACAGUCCCCAGGUAGAUGGGCUUCUAUGGGCGUAGGCCUCCAAAGGUAACGGAGGAGGCAAAGGUUUCUCUGGGCCGGACGGAGAUUGGCCCGAGUGCAGCGCAGAAGGGAGCUUGACUGCAAGACCCACCCGUCGAGCAGGGACGAAAGUCGGCUUUAGUGAUCCGACGGUGCCGAGUGGAAGGGCCGUCGCCCAACGGAUAAAAAGUUACUCUAGGAUAACAGGUUGAUCUUCAAGAGCCAUUAUCGACGGGAAGGUUUGCACCUAUGUCGGCUCUUCCACCUGGGGCUGUAGCAUGUUCCAAGGGUUGCUUGUUCGCCCAUUAAAGCGGCAUAGAGCUGGGUUCAGAAAACGUCGUGAGACAGUCUGGUCCAUCCCGUGGGCGUUAGAGCACUGAGAGGACCUUUCCUAGUACGAGAGGGACUGGAAGGACGCACCCUGGUGCACCAGUUAUCGUGCCCACGGUAAAACGCUGGCAGCUAAGUAAAUGCGGAGCGGAUAACUGCUGAAAGCAUCUGGCGUAGCCCACCCCAAGAUGAGAGUGCCUCCUAUUCCUGACUUCCCAGAGCCCGGUAGCACAGCCGAGGAGGACAGCAACGGGUUCUCCUGCUCUGCGGGGAUGGAGGAUGGUGAAGUUUUGAGAAUUCAAGAGAAGGUCACGGCGAGACGAGCCGUUUAUUGGCAUGAUAGGUGGCAUGAAGCAGUGGAUGUAUGCAGCUGAGGCAUCCAACAGACCGGUAGAUUUGAAC